AUAAACUAUAGGCUCCUAAUGCAUGAUUUUAUUUUAUACUUCUCUCUACAUGUACUUUCAUGUCUUAAAAGAUGGAAAAUCAUUUCUUUUUUUUUCCCUUUGACAGAAGACUGAUUUUACGCAAAGCAUACGAGAUUGGCGCAACCAGUGCAAAACUAUACUUUUGAACAUCCCUUUAACUCCACCUGCUGUUUAACCUCCCCGACAGUCGCUCAUAAAAGCCAGCAGAAACCUUUAUUGCACUGAUGUAAAGAGAUCCAAUCAAGCCCUAAUGGCAAUUUGGUGGUCACUCUUCACUGACCUUGACAUGCCUUGUUUAAAGUCUUCUGCUUCUUCCCUCCACAUGACUUGUGCUGAGGCUUAACGAUUUCUAGAGGCAUUCUUCUUGUAGAAACCCUCACAGAAUCAGCAAGAGAGACAAGAAUAUGUCAACAUUCCUUGCAAAAGGAAACAGUGUGAUGACCUACUUAUCAAGCAAUGGCCAAAUCAGGAUUUUUUAAAAUUUAUUUAACACUUUCUUUAUGGUCAGUGUAAUUUUGAAUAAGAACAUUAGAAAGGAAAAUUUUCCUGUUAGCAUGCUAUCUGUUUUCUGCAUGGCUGAUGUAUGCUGCGAAUGCAUUUAGCUUAAUUAAAUUUAGCCUGGUGAUUAAAUGCUGAGCUGUGCAUUUGGAACGUCCCUAAAAUCGUACAGUGCUACUGAAAACAAGAGUAGAUCUGCAGGAUAUGCAGGGUAGCGGACAAGGGUUGCUUGAUAUAGACACUUGAAGCCAUGAUUUUUACAAAGGGCUAGAGAAGGAGGCACAAGAGGCAGCUUUUAAUGGACAAAGAGUUUAACGGAUUGAUAUCAAACUACCGGCAGAGAAUGCUGGUGUAAAGUGAUAGGUUAGUGCGAGAAUAGGAAUUUUUUUUAAAAAAAAGCUACUUCAAACAUGCAGUCAGGGAAAUGAAGACUGAAUAACCUAUUCAUAAAAAGUCACAAAUAUCAGCAUCCCCCAUUUGAUCAUUCACUAUUUACAAUCCAUAUGAGUCCAUAGGGUAUAGGGUCUAUAAACCAAACGUUCACUGUGCAGAAAGGGGGAAAAACCAUGUACAUGAUGCUACCACCAAGUUGACCAAAAUAAAAUUCCGGGGUACUUUCUUUGGGAGAAUACUUGGUGCUGUUUUUUAACACUCUGCUUCAUAACUUUUCUAGUGGAAUCACAGAUAAAAAAUUAAUAAUAUAAAAUAUACUUUUGUCUCUGAUUAUGCAUCGCACACAUGCUUAAUGUGACUGGUGCAUCGUGACAAGGUUGUGAGCGACGCAGGGAUUCAUUGGGUACAGAGAUUAUGUAUUACGAGCGUAGCAAUAGCUUUGUGUUUCUACGUAAAUAAGUAUUUAAACUUGGAUGGGACUCUAGACCCAGCAAGUGAGUUCACAGAUUAAGAGCUACUAUUCAGAAUCGUAAUCUAGAGAUUCACCUUAUCUUCUCUCUGUCCAGAGGGAAAAAGCAAGACAUUUAACUGCAAUUCCUUGCCUGGUCCCAUGGCAUCACAGAUAAUAAGAGGGAUUUGGUGGGUGAUCUCUCUUUCAGGUCAAUCUGUGGAUACUCCACGUAUGCUACUGAGAAUAUAAUCGCUUGUAUGUACCAGAGACCUUAAUUUUUCAGUGCACCUUCACUAAAGAUCACAUCACCUGCUCCCAGCACCUGUACGGCUGCAGGGACAUUGUGCAUUGUUCUGUGAUAUACAGACAAUGUUACAAUGAAUUCUUACAUCUGGUAUUGGAAUCUUGAUCUUGAAUAUGCGGUGGGCUGGACAUGACCAUAUUAUCCACCCCAAAGGCAGUCUAACCAGCCCAAGUGAAAUGGGGGUAAAAAUUUUAGCCAGCAUGGCUUAAAAAUGAACUGGUCAUUAUGUGCCUAAUCUAAAAGUAAAAUACAAAAAAAGGGGUGCUAUCCUUCAACCCCCCAUAAAAUGUAUUUGUCAACAUUCUAAGUCUAAAAAUCUGUGAAGUUCCAGUUAUUAUGGUACAAUUCCUUUUUAUUACAACAUUGUUUAAACAGGAGGACUGUAUAUAAAUGCAAAUUUAGGGGUACUCUCAGGUUGCAAAUAUAAUGCAGUUUUCCAUCUUAUUUCAUGAGUUUCAGUGUUCGUUAUAAAUCAUACAUAAAGAGGACUGUGUUGGUAUUUUUUGGAGCUACGUCCUCUGAGAAAACGUAACUUUCUACUAUUUUGUUUUUAUUUCAUUAUGUGAUCAGGCCGUGUGCAGUUAGGUACUGAUUGCCAAAUAGGUUUUGAUACUAUACGGAUGCGUGUUUAUUGCUGGGGAAAAAACAAAAGUACUGAUACGAAGGAAGGGCAUCUAUAUUAAGCUAUCAAAAGGGAUUUCAUAGAAAAAUGUAAAACAGACCACAGUACCGUUGUAUGGUAUUGUAAGAAAAUAAAUCAUACAAAAACCCUGUAUUACAUAGAUAUGAAAUAUUUCAUAAAUAAUUCAUCAACCUGGUUUAGUUUGGCCCCGGG
Pelobates cultripes (western spadefoot toad) is the source of this 2502-nucleotide non-coding RNA. Lineage: Eukaryota; Metazoa; Chordata; Amphibia; Anura; Pelobatidae. The record is from the annotation of a GenBank genome assembly.